Molecule: long non-coding RNA, 614 nt
Filed under: Citrus sinensis (sweet orange)
Lineage: Eukaryota; Viridiplantae; Streptophyta; Magnoliopsida; Sapindales; Rutaceae
Description: long non-coding RNA (CSIN_LNC002520)
Source: RNAcentral
GUCCCCAAAGGUCUGUGUGAAUCAGUUCAAGGGUUGUCUUAGUUUUGGUUUCAGUGCUUUUGAAUGAUUGUUUUGAUUGCUUUCCAUAUUGACAUGCAGAGCAAAAUGAAGGAACAAUAUCUUUAUUAAUUUUGAGCUGAUUACAAGAUAGCAAGGUGUUUUUCAGAACUGAAGUACUAGGGUGUCCUAGUCUGGAAUGCCACACAUCAGCUUCUUCAACAGCUUGCAGAUUGUUGCUACUUGACUCAUCAGCUAUAUUUGACUCGACACUAACAUUGACUGACUCAUUACUUGAAUUGAAAGACAACAUGGACACUGGACAACUACUAUUAUUUAAUGACUCUGAAUUUGACAGAAUAGAAGAAAAAACAGCAUGUGGAUUUUUGUUCCUGCUCAGGAUGGCAGGUAAGUGCAUCAGCUCAUAUAGUCCAUCUCUAGCCACUCCUUUCACCAGAAUUUUCCCUUGUCUCUUGUCCUUAAUAAAACAAACAGAUUUUUGAAACUCAACAUCAACAUCAUUGUCAUGCAGCAGUUUAGAAAUGCUAAUGAGGUUUUUGGUUAUGUUAGGCACAUAUAAUAUAUCAGUCAAGGUAAUGUGCUUGUGUGGAUCAUAU